Molecule: transfer RNA, 85 nt
Filed under: Felis catus (domestic cat)
Lineage: Eukaryota; Metazoa; Chordata; Mammalia; Carnivora; Felidae
Also listed under: 2 other names
Rfam family: tRNA
About the family: Transfer RNA (tRNA) molecules are approximately 80 nucleotides in length. Their secondary structure includes four short double-helical elements and three loops (D, anti-codon, and T loops).
Source: Rfam by way of RNAcentral
GCCUGGGUGGCUCAGUCAGUUAAGCAUCUGACUUCAGCUCAGGUCAUGAUCUCACAGUUUGUGGGUUCGAGCCCCGCAUCAGGCU